Molecule: long non-coding RNA, 762 nt
Organism: Corylus avellana
Lineage: Eukaryota; Viridiplantae; Streptophyta; Magnoliopsida; Fagales; Betulaceae
Source: RefSeq, a predicted model, not a curated record
CACCCCUUUCACUCACCUCCCUCAUCACUCUCACUCUCGAUCUCUCUCCCGCUGCUCUCCCAACUUUCGUUCCCGCUGCUCUCCCUCCCUCCCAUGAUGGAUCCAAUGGCUUUCAAGCCUGAAAACGCUGCGUUUGAAGCUCUGGUUUUCGAGUGAUCUUUGUGAGUGGAGUUCGUAAAGAUAGAGAGGGACUCCUUGCAUCACUGAUUGUGUGAUGGCAGAGCUUGAGAAGCAAGGUCAGAAAUAUCGAGUUGCUUUGAGGACGGAUAGUUCCUUGAGGUUCGGUUGGUUUUUCCUGUUCUACUUGAUUCACAUUGGGUUUUGUAUUUUCGCUGCUAUUGCGCCGCCACUUGUCUUUCAUGGGAAGUCAUUGACAUAAGUUAAUUGAUUUAUGAGCUGUGUGGACUGAAGUUUCAAACGGGUUUGAUUUCCAUAUUAAUAUAGCAUAUAAUUAUAUUUGUAAUGAAGCCUGUUGUGGAAGUAGAUUUGACGAAAAAUAAUGCUCGAGCACUUUAGUUGUUUUUCACAUGUUUAGUGGUGGUAGCAUACAAAUUGUAGUAAAGCAAUAUAAUGUUUUAAUUAUGUCUACAAUAAAUUUGUCCUUGCUAUUUCUGAGCUGUAUGAACUUAAGUUUCAAACAGGGUUGAUUACCAUAUUAAUAUAGUAUAGACAAGCUGUUUGUUGUGGAAGAACAUUUGACGAAAAUAAUGCUCGGGGAUUUUGGUUGUUUGUGACGUGUAGUGACGGGUAUAUGAAAGUUGU